RNAcentral lists this ribosomal RNA (253 nucleotides) under uncultured bacterium. Its description in RNAcentral is "partial 16S ribosomal RNA". It matches the Rfam family "Bacterial small subunit ribosomal RNA", at positions 524 to 776 of the family's 1533-position model. The record is from RNAcentral.
UACAGAGGGUGCGAGCGUUAAUCGGAAUUACUGGGCGUAAAGCGCACGUAGUCGGCUUUGCAAGUCGGGUGUGAAAUCCCCGGGCUCAACCUGGGAACUGCAUCCGAGACCGCAUUGCUAGAGUAUGGGAGAGGGAAGCGGAAUUUCUGGUGUAGCAGUGAAAUGCGUAGAUAUCAGGAGGAACAUCAGUGGCGAAGGCGGCUUCCUGGACCAAUACUGACGAUCAGGUGCGAAAGCGUGGGGAGCAAACAGG